RNAcentral lists this ribosomal RNA (474 nucleotides) under Escherichia coli O120:H10. RNAcentral's name for it is "bacterial SSU rRNA". It matches the Rfam family "Bacterial small subunit ribosomal RNA", at positions 1 to 471 of the family's 1533-position model. The record is from RNAcentral. Lineage: Bacteria; Pseudomonadati; Pseudomonadota; Gammaproteobacteria; Enterobacterales; Enterobacteriaceae.
AAAUUGAAGAGUUUGAUCAUGGCUCAGAUUGAACGCUGGCGGCAGGCCUAACACAUGCAAGUCGAACGGUAACAGGAAGCAGCUUGCUGCUUCGCUGACGAGUGGCGGACGGGUGAGUAAUGUCUGGGAAACUGCCUGAUGGAGGGGGAUAACUACUGGAAACGGUAGCUAAUACCGCAUAAUGUCGCAAGACCAAAGAGGGGGACCUUCGGGCCUCUUGCCAUCGGAUGUGCCCAGAUGGGAUUAGCUUGUUGGUGGGGUAACGGCUCACCAAGGCGACGAUCCCUAGCUGGUCUGAGAGGAUGACCAGCCACACUGGAACUGAGACACGGUCCAGACUCCUACGGGAGGCAGCAGUGGGGAAUAUUGCACAAUGGGCGCAAGCCUGAUGCAGCCAUGCCGCGUGUAUGAAGAAGGCCUUCGGGUUGUAAAGUACUUUCAGCGGGGAGGAAGGGAGUAAAGUUAAUACCUUUG